GAUGAACGCUGGCGGCGUGCCUAAUACAUGCAAGUCGAGCGAACAGACGAGGAGCUUGCUCCUCUGACGUUAGCGGCGGACGGGUGAGUAACACGUGGAUAACCUACCUAUAAGACUGGGAUAACUUCGGGAAACCGGAGAUAAUACCGGAUAAUAUAUUGAACCGCAUGGUUCAAUAAUGAAAGACGGUUUUGCUAUCACUUAUAGAUGGAUCCGCGCAGUAUUAGCUAGUUGGUAGGGUAACGGCUUACCAAGGCAACGAUGCGUAGCCGACCUGAGAGGGUGAUCGCCCACACUGGAACGGAGACACGGUCAAGACUCCUACGGGAGGCAGAAGUAGGGAAUCUUCCGCAAUGGGCGAAAGCCUGACGGAGCAACGCCGCGUGAGUGAGGAAGGUCUUCGGAUCGUAAAACUCUUUUAUUAGGGAAGAACAAAUGGGUAAGUAACUAUGCACGUCUUGACGGUACCUAAUCAGAAAGCCACGGCUAACUACGUG
This 497-nucleotide ribosomal RNA is filed under the name uncultured bacterium. Its description in RNAcentral is "partial 16S ribosomal RNA". It matches the Rfam family "Bacterial small subunit ribosomal RNA", at positions 28 to 507 of the family's 1533-position model. The record is from RNAcentral.